GCUCUGCCCGGGGGCUGUGGGCACAGGGCGGGUGGUGAGCUCGGGGGUGCGAGCUAACCUGAGACUGGAAAAAGGCAUACGCGGGAUGAAGGAACUGCGCUGUGUCCAGUUCAGGGCUCCUCAGGAGAAGAGAGACAAGGAGCUACUGGAGUCAGUCAAGUGGAGGAGCACAAAGAUGAUUUGGGGCCUGGAGCAUUUCUCUUCUGAGGGCAGACUGCAGGAGCUGGGCCUGAGAUGACUGGGAGAGAAUCUCCGUAAUGCGUAUAAAUAAAGUGGAUGCCAAGACGGUAGUGCCAGACUCUUUCCAGUGAUGCCAGGAGACAAACUAAGGAUCAGUGGCCAUAAAUUAAACCACAAUUACACUGAAA
Molecule: long non-coding RNA, 368 nt
Organism: Cyanistes caeruleus (blue tit)
Lineage: Eukaryota; Metazoa; Chordata; Aves; Passeriformes; Paridae
Source: RefSeq, a predicted model, not a curated record